RNAcentral lists this ribosomal RNA (515 nucleotides) under Callosobruchus maculatus (cowpea weevil). RNAcentral's name for it is "partial 16S ribosomal RNA". The stretch from base 1 to 233 matches the Rfam family "Archaeal large subunit ribosomal RNA", at positions 1865 to 2143 of the family's 2987-position model. Lineage: Eukaryota; Metazoa; Arthropoda; Insecta; Coleoptera; Chrysomelidae. The record is from RNAcentral.
CCGGUUUGAACUCAGAUCAUGUCGCCUGUUUAACAAAAACAUGUCUUAUUGAUUUUAUUUUUAGGUUUAGGCCUGCCCACUGAAUUAUUAUUGAAUGGCCGCGGUAUUUUGACCGUGCUAAGGUAGCAUAAUCAUUAGUUUCUUAAUUAGAAGCUGGAAUGAAAGGUUGGAUGAGGGAAUUACUGUCUCUAAUUAAAUUUUUUUGAAUUUUAUUUUUUAGUGAAAAAGCUAAAAUUUUUUUGAAAGACGAGAAGACCCUUUAGGAGUUUUAUAAAAUUUAGAUUUUUAUUAUUUAUUGGAAUAUAAAAUUUUAAGUUUAAAUUUUAUUUGAUUGGGGUGAUUGAAAAAUUAAAUUAACUUUUUUUUGUUGAAAACAUUAAUGUAUGAUUUUUUGAUCCAAUAUUUUUGAUUAAAAGAUAAAAUUACCUUAGGGAUAACAGCGUAAUUUUUUUAGAGAAGCUCUUAUCGAAAAAAAAGGCGACCUCGAUGUUGGAUUACGCCUGUUAACAAAAACA